Molecule: ribosomal RNA, 497 nt
Filed under: uncultured bacterium
Lineage: Bacteria
Description: partial 16S ribosomal RNA
Rfam family: Bacterial small subunit ribosomal RNA
Source: RNAcentral
GAUGAACGCUGGCGGCGUGCUUAACACAUGCAAGUCGAGCGAAGCACUUUGCUUUGAUUUCUUCGGGAUGAAGAGCUUAGUGACUGAGCGGCGGACGGGUGAGUAACGCGUGGGUAACCUGCCUCAUACAGGGGGAUAACAGUUAGAAAUGACUGCUAAUACCGCAUAAGGCCACAGCACCGCAUGGUGCAGGGGUAAAAACUCCGGUGGUAUGAGAUGGACCCGCGUCUGAUUAGGUAGUUGGCGGGGUAACGGCCCACCAAGCCGACGAUCAGUAGCCGACCUGAGAGGGUGACCGGCCACAUUGGGACUGAGACACGGCCCAAACUCCUACGGGAGGCAGCAGUGGGGAAUAUUGCACAAUGGGGGAAACCCUGAUGCAGCGACGCCGCGUGAGCGAAGAAGUAUUUCGGUAUGUAAAGCUCUAUCAGCAGGGAAGAAAAUGACGGUACCUGACUAAGAAGCCCCGGCUAACUACGUGCCAGCCGCCGCAGUAA